This 254-nucleotide ribosomal RNA is filed under the name uncultured bacterium. Its description in RNAcentral is "partial 16S ribosomal RNA". It matches the Rfam family "Bacterial small subunit ribosomal RNA", at positions 524 to 777 of the family's 1533-position model. The record is from RNAcentral.
UACGAAGGGGCUAGCGUUGCUCGGAAUCACUGGGCGUAAAGGGUGCGUAGGCGGGUCUUUAAGUCAGGGGUGAAAUCCUGGAGCUCAACUCCAGAACUGCCUUUGAUACUGAGGAUCUUGAGUUCGGGAGAGGUGAGUGGAACUGCGAGUGUAGAGGUGAAAAUUCGUAGAUAUUCGCAAGAACACCAGUGGCGAAGGCGGCUCACUGGCCCGAUACUGACGCUGAGGCACGAAAGCGUGGGGAGCAAACAGGG